RNAcentral lists this unclassified non-coding RNA (346 nucleotides) under soil metagenome. RNAcentral describes it as "partial contains 5.8S ribosomal RNA, internal transcribed spacer 2, and large subunit ribosomal RNA". The stretch from base 1 to 119 matches the Rfam family "5.8S ribosomal RNA", at positions 35 to 154 of the family's 154-position model. The record is from RNAcentral.
GAUGAAGAACGUAGUGAAAUGCGAUAAGUAAUGCGAAUUGCAGAAUCCGUGAGUCAUCGAAUCUUUGAACGCACAUUGCGCCCUCUGGUAUUCCGGGGGGCAUGCCUGUUCGAGCGUCAUUAUCACCCCUCAAGCCUUUGGUUUGGCGUUGGGCUCCCCGGUUGUUAUCAGUCGGCGGCCUCAAAUAUAAUGACGGCGUCCCCGUGAGACUCGACGCACUGAGCUUUUGCAAGCACGCGUCGUAGCGCUCCGGGUCGACCCGGUCUCAAUCUUUUAAAUUUUAUCAAGGUUGACCUCGGAUCAGGUAGGGAUACCCGCUGAACUUAAGCAUAUCAAUAGCGGAGGA